Oncorhynchus nerka (sockeye salmon) is the source of this 398-nucleotide long non-coding RNA. RefSeq lists it as uncharacterized. NCBI's taxonomy places the organism in Eukaryota, Metazoa, Chordata, Actinopteri, Salmoniformes, Salmonidae. The transcript has 3 exons. The record is from RefSeq and is a predicted model, not a curated record.
AACCCUGACUACAUACCAGACCACCCUGGACCAGACUACUACAGAGGUCCUGGAUCAGCAGAAACAGUCAGAGAGGCUGGUCCAGGAGGUUCAGUCCAACCAGCGACUGAUGUCAGAACAGAAGAGUCACUUAGAGGAGCUCCGUGCAGCGCUGUCUGACUGUAACAGAGAGUUACAGCGUCUGAGAUCCCAGUGUUCUGAAAAGACGCUCCAGACCAACCGACUACAGACUGACUUACAGACGUCCCAGCAACACUGGGAGAGGGAGAGAGAAAGGGAGAAGCAGAGAGAAGGAGAAAGGGAGAAAACGAGGGAAGGAGAGCGGGAGAAGGAGAGAGAGAGGACCGUGGAGUUGCAGGCAGAAGUUCAGAGGAUCAGACAACUCAAUCAGAAAGAUU